Molecule: non-coding RNA, 724 nt
Organism: Aegilops tauschii subsp. strangulata
Lineage: Eukaryota; Viridiplantae; Streptophyta; Magnoliopsida; Poales; Poaceae
Source: RefSeq, a predicted model, not a curated record
CAGGACGUCACCAUGGGAGAAGAAGGUGUGAUGUGUUGUGCUGCUGCUUGGGAGGGACGCCAUGGGCAUCCCUACUCUGCUUCUUCUCUUCCCCUAACUCCAUCAAGCUGCUGAGCAUUGAUACGUGUUGUUCGGUGUACCUCGACAUGAUUUCCAGGACAUGAAAUGCGAGCUAUCUAAGCUGCUCCUUUGUUCCUGGACAUGAUUUAUCCUUCGAUUUGAUCAACAUUAUCUUUUUAUGUCUCUUGUCCAUCAUGUGCAGCGGCAACACGAUUUGCAGAGUACAAGGGUGGGCUCAUCGAGGUGUGCGGUGGUAGGCUCGCUCGGCCCCAGCGUCUUCUGUUGAACGGACAUGCCGCCUCUUCGGCGUCGGCUAAAUGAGAGCCAUGGAAUCAAUGAUGCCGACCUCAUUGCUGGGCACUGUGCUUUUGGUGUAUGAUAUGGCUGGGAGAAAACACACAGUUUCCUGCUGGUUUAUUACAUAUCAGCCAGUACUGUACAGAGUAGUAUAUAAGGACGUCUUACUGUAGUAUGGCUGAGGCAGUGACCAGCUUGGUAGUUAGUACUAGCUGAGAAAAUUCAUGAUGCUGGCUGGGAGCAAAAAGUUUAUAGGCUUAGUUGAUGUAUUGGUUCUGUUGUUGUAUGGGGAUAUAUGCAUAGAUAUGUAACAUGUGGGUUCCAAGCAUGCUUCCGAGAAAAAGUAAAAUUAUAUAUACAAUUUAAA